Molecule: ribosomal RNA, 1100 nt
Filed under: Lactiplantibacillus plantarum
Lineage: Bacteria; Bacillati; Bacillota; Bacilli; Lactobacillales; Lactobacillaceae
Description: bacterial SSU rRNA
Rfam family: Bacterial small subunit ribosomal RNA
Source: RNAcentral
ACACGUGGGAAACCUGCCCAGAAGCGGGGGAUAACACCUGGAAACAGAUGCUAAUACCGCAUAACAACUUGGACCGCAUGGUCCGAGUUUGAAAGAUGGCUUCGGCUAUCACUUUUGGAUGGUCCCGCGGCGUAUUAGCUAGAUGGUGGGGUAACGGCUCACCAUGGCAAUGAUACGUAGCCGACCUGAGAGGGUAAUCGGCCACAUUGGGACUGAGACACGGCCCAAACUCCUACGGGAGGCAGCAGUAGGGAAUCUUCCACAAUGGACGAAAGUCUGAUGGAGCAACGCCGCGUGAGUGAAGAAGGGUUUCGGCUCGUAAAACUCUGUUGUUAAAGAAGAACAUAUCUGAGAGUAACUGUUCAGGUAUUGACGGUAUUUAACCAGAAAGCCACGGCUAACUACGUGCCAGCAGCCGCGGUAAUACGUAGGUGGCAAGCGUUGUCCGGAUUUAUUGGGCGUAAAGCGAGCGCAGGCGGUUUUUUAAGUCUGAUGUGAAAGCCUUCGGCUCAACCGAAGAAGUGCAUCGGAAACUGGGAAACUUGAGUGCAGAAGAGGACAGUGGAACUCCAUGUGUAGCGGUGAAAUGCGUAGAUAUAUGGAAGAACACCAGUGGCGAAGGCGGCUGUCUGGUCUGUAACUGACGCUGAGGCUCGAAAGUAUGGGUAGCAAACAGGAUUAGAUACCCUGGUAGUCCAUACCGUAAACGAUGAAUGCUAAGUGUUGGAAGGGUUUCCGCCCUUCAGUGCUGCAGCUAACGCAUUAAGCAUUCCGCCUGGGGGAGUACGGCCGCAAGGCUGAAACUCAAAGGAAUUGACGGGGGCCGCACAAGCGGUGGAGCAAGGUGGUUUAAUUCGAAGCUACGCGAAGAACCUUACCAGGUCUUGACAUACUAUGCAAAUCUAAGAAGAUUAGACGUUCCCUUCGGGGAAUGGAAACAAGGGGGGGCCAGGGGUGUCCUCAACUCCUGCCCGGGAAAAUAUGGUGUUAAUUCCCCCCACAAAGGCCACCCCUUAUUAUCAUUUGCCACCAUUAAUUUGGGCCUCUCGUUGAGAAUGCCGUGAAACCCAGAAAAGAAGGGGGGGGGGGGGGGAAAAACA